Neogale vison (American mink) is the source of this 536-nucleotide long non-coding RNA. RefSeq lists it as uncharacterized. The record is from RefSeq and is a predicted model, not a curated record. Lineage: Eukaryota; Metazoa; Chordata; Mammalia; Carnivora; Mustelidae. The transcript has 3 exons.
GUUGAAUCAAUCACCAAGGGCGAAGGAUUUAAUCUGUUGUGUUAUGAGUCCUCCAUAAAAACGUAGAAGGACGGGUUUCGGAGUUUCCCAGUGCAGCCGGAGAAAACUUUGAUUUUAAAGGGCUCAUGUGAUUAGGUCCAGCUCAUACAGUCUAUGCUGUUAACUACCAUGAGUAAAAUCCCUCUUCUUCAACGCUCCUGGAUGUCAAGGACAUGCACGCCAAGGAGACAGGAAAUCUUGGGAGCCAUCUAAGAAUUUUGCCCUCUACAAAGAUGGAGCAGGUCUUUGCUUCCUGAAAGGAAGGGCUGAUGCUGAUUAAUUGACAAAAACACAUUUGGAACGAUAAAGUACUUCCCACACAUUCCUGGCCAUCCAGGCACUUAGCAGAUGACAUUCUUCUCUCUCCGACACCCACCUCCCUCCUCAACAAGGUUCGAAGCCCUCAUUAGGACACAACAAAAUCCUUAUCCUUGCUGGGGUCAGGAGUCACGUUUUAUUUAUUUUUUUUUUUUAAAGAUUUUAUUUAUUUAUUUGAC